AUUGAACGCUGGCGGCAGGCCUAACACAUGCAAGUCGAACGAGUGGCGGACGGGUGAGUAAUGUCUGGGAAACUGCCUGGUGGAGGGGGAUAACUACUGGAAACGGUAGCUAAUACCGCAUACCAUCGGAUGUGCCCAGAUGGGAUUAGCUGGUGGGUGGGGUAACGGCUCACCUAGGCGACGAUCCCUAGCUGGUCUGAGAGGAUGACCAGCCAGACUGGAACUGAGAAACGGUCCAGACUCCUACGGGAGGCAGCAGUGGGGACUAUUGCACAAUGGGCGCAAGCCUGAUGCAGCCAUGCCGCGUGUAUGAAGAAGGCAUUCGGGUUGUAAAGUACUUUCAGCGGGGAGGCGUUACCCGCAGAAGAAGCACCGGCUAACUCCGUGCCAGCAGCCGCGGUAAUAC
Molecule: ribosomal RNA, 406 nt
Filed under: uncultured bacterium
Lineage: Bacteria
Description: partial 16S ribosomal RNA
Rfam family: Bacterial small subunit ribosomal RNA
Source: RNAcentral